GGCUGAUGCCAUGGCACUCUGUAUCAAACAAACAAACAAACAAAAAAAUACAACUAAUUGAUCACAAUCAGUUACAGAUUCCUUUGUGCCUUUUCCACUCCCAUUGCUUCACUUGACCAGCCUAAA
RNAcentral lists this small RNA (126 nucleotides) under Microcebus murinus (gray mouse lemur). RNAcentral describes it as "Y RNA (ENSMICG00000024034.3)". The record is from RNAcentral. Lineage: Eukaryota; Metazoa; Chordata; Mammalia; Primates; Cheirogaleidae.